AUUGAACGCUGGCGGCAUGCCUUACACAUGCAAGUCGAACGGUAACGGGCCUUCGGGUGCCGGCGAGUGGCGCACGGGUGCGUAAUACAUCGGAACGUGCCCGAUCGUGGGGGAUAACGAGGCGAAAGCUUUGCUAAUACCGCAUACGAUCUACGGAUGAAAGCAGGGGACCGCAAGGCCUUGCGCGGACGGAGCGGCCGAUGGCAGAUUAGGUAGUUGGUGGGAUAAAAGCUUACCAAGCCGACGAUCUGUAGCUGGUCUGAGAGGAUGAUCAGCCACACUGGGACUGAGACACGGCCCAGACUCCUACGGGAGGCAGCAGUGGGGAAUUUUGGACAAUGGGCGCAAGCCUGAUCCAGCCAUGCCGCGUGCAGGAUGAAGGCCUUCGGGUUGUAAACUGCUUUUGUACGGAACGAAAAGCCUUCUUUUAAUACAGGAGGGUCAUGACGGUACCGUAAGAAUAAGCACCGGCUAACUACGUG
RNAcentral lists this ribosomal RNA (482 nucleotides) under uncultured bacterium. Its description in RNAcentral is "partial 16S ribosomal RNA". It matches the Rfam family "Bacterial small subunit ribosomal RNA", at positions 30 to 507 of the family's 1533-position model. The record is from RNAcentral.